This 57-nucleotide transfer RNA is filed under the name Loxodonta africana (African savanna elephant). It matches the Rfam family "tRNA", at positions 8 to 63 of the family's 71-position model. Rfam says of the family: Transfer RNA (tRNA) molecules are approximately 80 nucleotides in length. Their secondary structure includes four short double-helical elements and three loops (D, anti-codon, and T loops). Further hydrogen bonds mediate the characteristic L-shaped molecular structure. tRNAs have two regions of fundamental functional importance: the anti-codon, which is responsible for specific mRNA codon recognition, and the 3' end, to which the tRNAs corresponding amino acid is attached (by aminoacyl-tRNA synthetases). tRNAs cope with the degeneracy of the genetic code in two manners: having more than one tRNA (with a specific anti-codon) for a particular amino acid; and 'wobble' base-pairing, i.e. permitting non-standard base-pairing at the 3rd anti-codon position. Lineage: Eukaryota; Metazoa; Chordata; Mammalia; Proboscidea; Elephantidae. The record is from Rfam by way of RNAcentral.
UGGCACAAUGGUUAAGUGUUUGGCUGCUAACCAAAAGGUUGGUGGUUCGAAUCCAUC